AACACAUGCAAGUCGAACGCCGUAGCAAUACGGAGUGGCAGACGGGUGAGUAACACGUGGGAACGUACCCUUCGGUUCGGAAUAACUCGGGGAAACUCGAGCUAAUACCGGAUACGUCCGAGAGGAGAAAGAUUUAUUGCCGAAGGAUCGGCCCGCGUCUGAUUAGCUUGUUGGUGAGGUAACGGCUCACCAAGGCGACGAUCAGUAGCUGGUCUGAGAGGAUGAUCAGCCACAUUGGGACUGAGACACGGCCCAAACUCCUACGGGAGGCAGCAGUGGGGAAUAUUGGACAAUGGGCGAAAGCCUGAUCCAGCCAUGCCGCGUGAGUGAUGAAGGCCUUAGGGUUGUAAAGCUCUUUUACCUGGGAAGAUAAUGACGGUACCAGGAGAAUAAGCCCCGGCUAACUUCGUGCCAGCAGCCGCGGUAAUACGAAGGGGGCUAGCGUUGUUCGGAUUUACUGGGCGUAAAGCGCACGUAGGCGGAUCUUUAAGUCAGAGGUGAAAGCCUGGAGCUCAACUCCAGAACUGCCUUUGAUACUGGGGAUCUCGAGUCCGGGAGAGGUGAGUGGAACUGCGAGUGUAGAGGUGAAAUUCGUAGAUAUUCGCAAGAACACCAGUGGCGAAGGCGGCUCACUGGCCCGGUACUGACGCUGAGGUGCGAAAGCGUGGGGAGCAAACAGGAUUAGAUACCCUGGUAGUCCACGCCGUAAACGAUGGAUGCCAGCCGUUGGACAGCUUGCUGUUCAGUGGCGCAGUUAACGCUUUAAGCAUCCCGCCUGGGGAGUACGGUCGCAAGAUUAAAACUCAAAGGAAUUGACGG
RNAcentral lists this ribosomal RNA (819 nucleotides) under uncultured bacterium. RNAcentral describes it as "bacterial SSU rRNA". It matches the Rfam family "Bacterial small subunit ribosomal RNA", at positions 50 to 916 of the family's 1533-position model. The record is from RNAcentral.